RNAcentral lists this long non-coding RNA (588 nucleotides) under Elaeis guineensis (African oil palm). RNAcentral describes it as "long non-coding RNA (EGUI_LNC066092)". The record is from RNAcentral. Lineage: Eukaryota; Viridiplantae; Streptophyta; Magnoliopsida; Arecales; Arecaceae.
GGAGAACCUCAUCCUAACAUGAGCUGAAAUUGACUGUCGGAAAUAAGAAGAGAACCUCGUCCUGACGCAAACAAAGACCCAGUCGAUCAAGAUCGGAUGAAGAGGAAAGCCUCCUCAAUGGCUCAUCUACGCUCUCACGACCCCGUUAAGAGUAGAGGGAAAAUCCUCACUCGAACACAAAAAAAAAGAAGAGAAGAUGAAAAGGGAAAGCGAUGAACCACACCAGCGAUAAGUGAAAAACAAACUACAUCAAAGAUCCAAGGGACCUCGUCUCAACGAGGAAGGAUACUCCUAUCAAAAAAUCCUCAGUCACUAAAAGAAAACUCGACACAGGCCGAGGAGAAAUCGACUUUCUCAAAGUAACGAGAAGUUCGGGUCCCCAAGCUCGAGCACCGGGAGGAAGCGUCAAACUCAAAUGGCCUCGAAAAGACCUACGAUCAUGAACAAAAAAGGCAAAUCAACAUGGCGACGAUUGAAAACCUUCAAACAAUGUCAGCAUCGAACAGGGCAAAAGAUAAAAGAAGUUCGGUAAACAACAACUCAAAGCAAGAAUAGACGAGGAAUCACAAACAACGCCGACGCCAAACA